Clupea harengus (Atlantic herring) is the source of this 878-nucleotide long non-coding RNA. NCBI's taxonomy places the organism in Eukaryota, Metazoa, Chordata, Actinopteri, Clupeiformes, Clupeidae. The record is from Ensembl.
CAGCCCAUGAAAGGUGUGCCUGGCGUUGAGGAACAGCAGUUCACCGAGAGGAAGAGCAAAAAGAAAGGGACUUUCAUAAUCCGAAGACUUCUCCCUGGGGCCUUGUUUGGUUCCGCCUCCAAGGUAAACUUGACCUUUUGACCGCUGUGACUUGUCCACCUCUGUGCUUUGCAUCCAUUUUGGUUCCACUCUGAUUGGAUUUGCUUGGCAAAUCAGUGCCCUUUCACAGCACACAUGGCUGAAAUCACACAGAGCUAACCCAGAUAUUGGUUUUUAAUAUAUAUACAUUUUAUAUACUAUAUAAUAUUAAUUUAAAAAAUAUAAUUCUUUUUUUUUUCUUAGUGUUACUUGUGGUUUUUGACAUUUUGUAAUUAUUUUUAGGAGUGUGAGCAUCAGUCAUCUGAAAUUGGAGAAGCGCGACCUGAUGGACAGGUGUGUGUGUUUUUUUUAGUUUGUUGUUUUUUUGGGGGGGUGGGUAUAUGUGAGCAUGUUUGUGUAUAGGCAAAGACAUUUCAUGAAGCUCCAUAGUUCUGCAGGAACACAUGCUGACCGUCCUCAAAGCAGGCAUACUGUACGUCACCAGUGAGGUGGCUGGGUAGAAAACACAAUCUGGGUUGUGAAACAUUAUGCAAAACCUGCAUUUAGUAAAAUUGAUUACAGAUUAGGCUAAUAGAUUAUGAUAGAUUAUUUUGUUCUUGUGCGCAUCUUUGUGUGUAUUUGUGUGAGCAUGUGCGUUUGCUUGUUUGUUUGUUUGUGCGUACGUGUGUGUGUAUGUAUGCGUGCAUUUGUUUGUUUGUGCACGCGUGUGUGUGUGUAGUAGCUGUCACUAUUAUUUCUCUGUGUGGGUUGGUAGCUGUGUCUGUUCAGCUUCAUAAUAA